GACGAACGCUGGCGGCGUGCUUAACACAUGCAAGUCGAACGGAAAGGCCCUGCUUUUGCGGGGUGCUCGAGUGGCGAACGGGUGAGUAACACGUGUGUAACCUGCCCUUGACUUUGGGAUAACUUCAGGAAACUCGGGCUAUUACCGGAUAGGAGCUCCUGCUGCACGGUGGGGGAUGGAAAGUUUCGGCGGUUGGGGAUGGACUCGCGGCUUAUCAGCUUGUUGGUGGGGUAGUGGCUUACCAAGGUUUUGACGGGUAGCCGGCCUGAGAGGUUGACCGGCCACAUUGGGACUGAGAUACGGCCCAGACUCCUACGGGAGGCAGCAGUGGGGAAUAUUGCACAAUGGGCGGAAGCCUGAUGCAGCAACGCCGCGUGCGGGAUGACGGCCUUCGGGUUGUAAACCGCUUUCGCCUGUGACGAAGCGGGAGUGACGGUAAUGGGUAAGGAAGCACCGGCUAACUACGUG
Molecule: ribosomal RNA, 468 nt
Filed under: uncultured bacterium
Lineage: Bacteria
Description: partial 16S ribosomal RNA
Rfam family: Bacterial small subunit ribosomal RNA
Source: RNAcentral